GGGCCUAUAGCUCAGUUGGUUAGAGCAGCAGACUCAUAAUCUGCGGGUCGAAGGUUCGAAUCCUUCUGGGCCCA
RNAcentral lists this transfer RNA (74 nucleotides) under Leptospiraceae bacterium. RNAcentral describes it as "tRNA-Ile". It matches the Rfam family "tRNA". Rfam says of the family: Transfer RNA (tRNA) molecules are approximately 80 nucleotides in length. Their secondary structure includes four short double-helical elements and three loops (D, anti-codon, and T loops). Lineage: Bacteria; Pseudomonadati; Spirochaetota; Leptospiria; Leptospirales; Leptospiraceae. The record is from RNAcentral.